This 1306-nucleotide ribosomal RNA is filed under the name Trapezia rufopunctata. RNAcentral describes it as "16S ribosomal RNA". The stretch from base 611 to 1306 matches the Rfam family "Archaeal large subunit ribosomal RNA", at positions 1423 to 2833 of the family's 2987-position model. Lineage: Eukaryota; Metazoa; Arthropoda; Malacostraca; Decapoda; Trapeziidae. The record is from RNAcentral.
UUUAUAAAAAUUGCUUGUGGGUAUUAGUGAAUAUAUAAUUAAAAAAAUUAAUUUUGAUAGAUUUAGUAGAUUUUAAUAAAAUUUUAUUACUGCGAUAGAAAAAUAGUACUGUGAAGGAAAUUUUAAAAUGUAGAGUAAUAAAUAAAGUAAAUAUAAAUAAUUGUACCUUGUGUAUCAGGGAGGAUUAAAUUAGUUUAUAAAAUAUAAUAUUCCCGAAGUAAAUAAUAGUUAAUUUUUUAAGGAAGUUUACAUUGUAAAGUAAAAUUUGAAUAAAAAGUUAAAGAUGAAAUGUUAAACGAGUUUUAUUAUAUCUGGUUUGUCAAGAAAUAAAUGUAAUUUAAGGUUCAAGUUUUUGUUAUUUGAAUUCUAAGAGUAGAAGGGUUGAGCUUUUUAUUCAAAAAAUUUUAUAUAACAGCCAGUUUGUAAAUAAUAGAAUUAUUUAGGCUUAAAAGUAGCUAAAAUAAUAAAGUGUUUAAAAUAAGUUAUAUGUAAAAUAUAAAGGCUUUAAUUGUUAUUGAGAUAUUUAAAAAUUUUUUCUAAAAAGUAAUAUUGAUUUUAUUAGUAAAAGUUAAUGUUAAAGAAUAUAAAAUAAAAUAAAAGUUAAAAUAUUAAUUUGUAAAGGUGUAAAAUAGGAACUCGGCAAAUAAAAAAUUCUUGCCUGUUUAUCAAAAACAUGUCUAUUUGAAGAUAUUUAUAGUCUGGCCUGCUCCCUGAUUAAUAUUAAAGAGCCGCGGUAAUUUGACCGUGCAAAGGUAGCAUAAUCAUUAGUUUCUUAAUUGGGAACUUGUAUGAAAGGUUAGACAAAGGAAAAGCUGUCUUUGUUAUAAAAUUUGAAAUUAACUUUCAAGUGAAAAGGCUUGAAUAAGUCAGAGGGACGAUAAGACCCUAUAAAGCUUUAUAUGGAAAUAAAAUUAAACUAAAUUUAAUAUAAAAGUUAAAAUCUUUUUUUAUAUUUUAUUGGGGUGAUAUUGAUAAAAGUAAUAUUAACUGUUAAAUUUGAAUACAUGAAUAAAGGAGUUUGUAAGUAAUGAUCCUUAUUUAAAGAUUAAAAGAUUAAGUUACUUUAGGGAUAACAGCGUAAUUUUUCUUAAGAGUUCAUAUCGAAAGAAAAGAUUUCGACCUCGAUGUUGAAUUAAGAUAUCUAUAUAAAGCAGUCAUUAUAUAAGAAGGUCUGUUCGACCUUUAAAUUUUUACAUGAUUUGAGUUCAGACCGGCGUGAGCCAGGUCGGUUUCUAUCUUCUGAGAAAGGUAAACUACUUUAGUACGAAAGGAUUAAGUAGUUUUUAUAAUAAAAAAAAAUGAAAUA